GAUAAACGCUGGCGGCGCACAUGAGACAUGCAAGUCGAACGGACUUAACCGAAAGUUUACUUUUGGAGCGGUUAGUGGCGGACUGGUGAGUAACACGUAAGCAACCUGCCUAUCAGAGGGGAACAACAGUUAGAAAUGACUGCUAAUACCGCAUAUGCCUAAGUACCACAUGGUACAAUAGGGAAAGAAGCAAUUCGCUGAUAGAUGGGCUUGCGUCUGAUUAGAUAGUAGGCGGGGUAACGGCCCACCUGGUCUUCGAUGGAUAGGGGUUCUGAGAGGAAGGUCCCCCACAUUGGAACUGAGACACGGUCCAA
This 314-nucleotide ribosomal RNA is filed under the name uncultured bacterium. Its description in RNAcentral is "bacterial SSU rRNA". It matches the Rfam family "Bacterial small subunit ribosomal RNA", at positions 28 to 334 of the family's 1533-position model. The record is from RNAcentral.